UUGGUUCUGGGGAGGAAAGGGGGGAGCGGUGGCGCGGGGACUGGGGAGGGGCUAAGGAGGGGGGGGUCACUUCGCCCCCUCACCCUCUCUCUCUCUCUGCCUUGUCCCGGCCCUGAGUGUCGCCCCAGAAGGGCUUGAAGGAAUGUAGUGGGUUAGGACACAACGGGGAGGGCGCAAACUGGAGGAAGCGAGAGACGUCGCCAGGGACCCAGGGCCCUCUCCUUCUAGUUCCCCGAGCCCGCCCGCCUCCACUGGCAACUCCCUGUAGAGCGCCCAAUCUGCCCCGGCCAGUCUCCGGGCUGGCAGUCUGGCCAGUACCCGGGGCGCUUGAGUGUCCUCUCCCCGGAUCACUGCUUGGGCCCCCACCUUGGGGAGGAUGCGCCCGAGGUCUCGUCCCCGGGGCUCACUCUGAAUCUGGCGCCUGCUCUCUCAGGGGCACCCUCCCCAACCCGACGGUGGAGUUUUUGCCCCUCCUGAGACAGUGUGAGAGAAGGACAAACUUUUGAGUGGAUAAAGAUCAAGAAGAGCCCGUCCAGAGCAGGCAGAGGCCCAGAUUUCCUGAAUCAAGGAAUAGGAGGCCUUCUCCGGGACCCACACCUCUUCUCUGGCCUCUCAAACUGGUGAUGCUGUGAAGGUUUGGUGACAUGGAGGAGGAGAAGGGACAAGAGGGCAAAGAGUCGUUUGCUUUAUCAAGAAAUCAGUGGCUUCGGCGGUUCCUCCCACUGGUAUUUAUUUAGUACCUACUCUGUGCAAAGCGCUGUCCCUACCUCAGUUUGUCACGACAGUCAGUAAUGAGAUUCCGGCCACUCUCAGGCUUCAGUGUGUGUGGA
Sus scrofa (pig) is the source of this 830-nucleotide long non-coding RNA. RefSeq lists it as uncharacterized. The record is from RefSeq and is marked validated. NCBI's taxonomy places the organism in Eukaryota, Metazoa, Chordata, Mammalia, Artiodactyla, Suidae.